GUACACUCCUGCGGGAGGCAGCAGUGGGGAAUUUUGGACAAUGGGGGCAACCCUGAUCCAGCAAUGCCGCGUGAGUGAAGAAGGCCUUCGGGUUGUAAAGCUCUUUUGUCAGGGAAGAAACGGUAGUAGCGAAUAACUAUUACUAAUGACGGUACCUGAAGAAUAAGCACCGGCUAACUACGUGCCAGCAGCCGCGGUAAUACGUAGGGUGCAAGCGUUAAUCGGAAUUACUGGGCGUAAAGCGUGCGCAGGCGGUUGUGUAAGUCAGAUGUGAAAUCCCCGGGCUCAACCUGGGAAUUGCAUUUGAGACUGCACGGCUAGAGUGUGUCAGAGGGGGGUAGAAUUCCACGGGUAGCAGUGAAAUGCGUAGAUAUGUGGAGGAAUACCGAUGGCGAAGGCAGCCCCCUGGGAUAACACUGACGCUCAUGCACGAAAGCGUGGGGAGCAAACAGGAUUAGAUAGCCUGGUAGUCCCAUGAU
RNAcentral lists this ribosomal RNA (479 nucleotides) under uncultured organism. RNAcentral describes it as "partial 16S ribosomal RNA". It matches the Rfam family "Bacterial small subunit ribosomal RNA", at positions 331 to 801 of the family's 1533-position model. The record is from RNAcentral.